This 507-nucleotide ribosomal RNA is filed under the name Fusarium sp. TRT109. Its description in RNAcentral is "eukaryotic LSU rRNA". The stretch from base 156 to 309 matches the Rfam family "5.8S ribosomal RNA". The record is from RNAcentral. Lineage: Eukaryota; Fungi; Ascomycota; Sordariomycetes; Hypocreales; Nectriaceae.
UUGACCGAGUUUACAACUCCCAAACCCCUGUGAACAUACCUUAAUGUUGCCUCGGCGGAUCAGCCCGCGCCCCGUAAAACGGGACGGCCCGCCAGAGGACCCAAACUCUAAUGUUUCUUAUUGUAACUUCUGAGUAAAACAAACAAAUAAAUCAAAACUUUCAACAACGGAUCUCUUGGUUCUGGCAUCGAUGAAGAACGCAGCAAAAUGCGAUAAGUAAUGUGAAUUGCAGAAUUCAGUGAAUCAUCGAAUCUUUGAACGCACAUUGCGCCCGCUGGUAUUCCGGCGGGCAUGCCUGUUCGAGCGUCAUUUCAACCCUCAAGCCCCCGGGUUUGGUGUUGGGGAUCGGCUCUGCCUUCUGGCGGUGCCGCCCCCGAAAUACAUUGGCGGUCUCGCUGCAGCCUCCAUUGCGUAGUAGCUAACACCUCGCAACUGGAACGCGGCGCGGCCAUGCCGUAAAACCCCAACUUCUGAAUGUUGACCUCGGAUCAGGUAGAGCAAUACCCG